GGAUUUCUGUGGCUUUGUGCUCCCUUACACUUGGCCAGACGUUUCAGGAAAAAAGUUCCCAAAAUUCCAUUCUCCAAACUCUACAUCUGUAAGCAGGUUGUGUCACUUCAGUUCCUGACAGCUAUUGCUGGACUUGCUGUCACACUUGCUGAAGAUUACAGACCGAUGAAUGACUCAUUGGAUUAUAAAAAAAUCCUGCUGUGCUUUAUGUUAAUCUUGUGCUGUUUGGAGUCCCUUUGGCUUUGGUGAUGUUAAUCCAGGAAGCUGUUCAAUGCAAGGAGAGAGCCGUCGAUUCUGCAAGCCUCUCUCUGUUCUGGCUGCUGUUGGUCAUCUGCGAUAUCUUUCCUCUCC
This is a long non-coding RNA of Ictalurus punctatus (channel catfish), 351 nucleotides long. Lineage: Eukaryota; Metazoa; Chordata; Actinopteri; Siluriformes; Ictaluridae. The record is from Ensembl.